RNAcentral lists this long non-coding RNA (307 nucleotides) under Ananas comosus (pineapple). RNAcentral's name for it is "long non-coding RNA (ACOM_LNC026599)". The record is from RNAcentral. Lineage: Eukaryota; Viridiplantae; Streptophyta; Magnoliopsida; Poales; Bromeliaceae.
GUCACAUAAGUAUAAGAUACAAGCACAACAGUAUGACAUUCACAUACAUUCACCAUUCACAUUCACAAUUCAUUUCAUCACAAAUAUUCAUAAAUUCAUAUCUAUUAAUUUAAAAUGUUUUCUACCCGGAAACUCAUUUUGAAACAUUAAAAGUCAUUAAAACCAAGAAAACCUUUUCAAAACUGUUUCCCACAUGGAAACUAUUUUCUUUUAAAACACGCUACCACGAGGGGUAGAAAAUAGUUUUCAUCUCACAAGAAAACCAUAAGUUCUUUAUUACAUUCAGAAAAUUUUAUUUAUCCAAAUA